Long non-coding RNA from Felis catus (domestic cat), 2207 nucleotides. RefSeq lists it as uncharacterized. The record is from RefSeq and is a predicted model, not a curated record. The transcript has 2 exons. NCBI's taxonomy places the organism in Eukaryota, Metazoa, Chordata, Mammalia, Carnivora, Felidae.
UGAAGUUGGAAGCUGAACUGACUGAGCCACCCAGGAAUCCCUAGGGGAAAGCUUUUAAAAUAGAUUCCCAGCCCCAUCCUAGAGAUUCUGAUUCAGCCGGACUGGGUGGGGCCUGAGAAUCUGUGUUUGGAAUCUGUACUGGGGAUUUGGGGGGAAUUUGUUAGUGACCCAUAGCCUAGCCCAUCCUGACUGAUAUGCAUACUCCUGUCAGCUAUGACAUGGGGAUAACACCUUCGGUAGACUGUAUCCAGUACUGGGGGUCCGUAUGUCUACAAAGUCAAGGUUGUGGCCUGUCAAAGAACUAAUGCUUACUUCUUCAAUAGGAGGGAAAUCCUCUUCCUGAAGGUGGGAGGGGCUUCCCCAAGGAUGUGAGCUCCACCUCCCCCUGUUUUACCAGUCCCCAUUAAAAAGAGAAGUGUGAUCCACUGAUUCACCAUUGUGUCCCUAGUGCCUAGCCCAGAGUGUGGCUUGUAAAACACUGAAUUCACAUCUGAUAGGACUUACUGUGAUGUUCCUUUCCAUGAAUCUCCCAGUAGAUUAUGUUCAAGAACAUACCAGGAACUUCUCUCCCUUCCCUCAGCCCCUCUACACCCCUCUGCCCUGAGCCAUUGGUUAACUUCUUGACCCCAGUCCCAGGCUGGACACCUCACUGCCUUCUCUGCCUGAUCUUGAUAAUGGCACUACAUAGGAACUUCUCAAUGAUCCAAGUAAUACUCAUGAAAAUUCAUAAUCACUCACUAUGAAACAUUUGAAAAUCAAGGGCAAGCAGGAAAAAAAAAAAAAAAAAAAAAAGCCAGUAUCUAUAAUCCCCUCUCACAGAAGGAACUAUUGUUGACCCUGUGAUAUUACCUUUCCCUCCAUCCUUUUGUCUUCUAUGAGUUCCCCCAACCCCCCACAUCCGUGGCAUAAUUUUAGUGAGAUCCCAUGAAUGGUUGCUCUUUAGGAGGAGAGAGAAGAGCCACCCACAAAUGCAGAAAAUGUCAGGGCUGGCAGGGGACUUAUGAAUUGUCCAACCAACCUCUGCCAUUACCGAUGACGACACCGUUUUAAAAUAACCUGGGUGCAAAUGUGUGUGAAGUCAAGACAAAUGUCUGCACAACCUCUGCCAAGCUCAGUGACCGUUGUCUGUGGGGUUGGGGGCACAGGAAGGGCGAUGAAAAGAUACUGUACAUAUCUUGAAUUUUUUUUUGCUACAAAAAUGCAUUCAAAUAUUAAUUGCACUUGAAGCACAUUAUUCUUGUUAAAAGAACAGGAAACGAAAGCCAUGAAAUAGAAAGCAAUUGAUGUGUACAGUUUUGCCCAGCUCUUGCUGUCAGGUCUCGACCACUAUAUCCCUGGGCAUCAGCCAGUCUUCUGCUGUCCUUGCUCUUCAGCCCAUUGUUCCCAAGGACAAGGGUCACUCCAGGGCAGCCCCUUCGCUCCGACAACACGGGCACCCAGAUGCCGGAACGACGUGGGAAAAGGGAAGAUUCUGCAGGCCCCAACCUGAAGCCCAGGCCCACAAGUCCAAUCUCUGCCAGACCCAAGAUGGGAUCAAAUGCCUUCAAGUCCAGACUCGGCCCCAUCCGAGAGGGGGUUACUGGCCGCUCUCAAGACGAAAGGGAUCCCUGGUGAAUCAGGAAAGUUAUUGGGCUGGAAAGUGGUUAAAGGGCUGAGCGUGGGAGGGGAUUUCCACCGAGAGAGCCAGGCCCAGGAGCAAGCCUGGGCGGGUCGGCUGCAGGGUUGCUACCCACUUGAUGUCUGUUGCAAUGGUGCCCAUAAAACCCAAAUCGUUAGACUCGAAGCCUUGAUCAGUUUUUUCUUCUGUUUCCCUUUAGAGAAACGGAGAUCCGAGGAAACCCCAAAGCUCUAGAACAAAGGACUCUACAUCAAAGGGGUGCAGGCAGGGUAGGGAAAGGACAAGGGAAGCGCAGAUAUAGGAGAGGCUGAGCCCCACGGCUCAGCCCCCCGGCUGCUCUGCUGUGGUGUCCAUGGCCCGCUCCAGAAGGCCCCGCUGACCCUGCAGAAAUCUUGUGGCCAGUGACUACCAUUUACAUCUCCAAACUGGCCCUUGCUUUCAAGCCAGCCCUGUGGUUUUGUUUUAUUUUUAAAAUAUGUGCAAUACAUGUGUGCGUGUGACAUCCAAACCAUAUACAAGCACAGCUUUGGAGAUAUUGUGGGCUGGGCUCCAGACCACUGCAAUAAAGCAUAUGUUGCAAUAAAGCGAA